This 111-nucleotide ribosomal RNA is filed under the name Pteropus alecto (black flying fox). The record is from RNAcentral. Lineage: Eukaryota; Metazoa; Chordata; Mammalia; Chiroptera; Pteropodidae.
GUCUAAAGUAGCUACGUGCCCGAUCUCGUCUGAUCUCGGAAGCUAAGCAGGGUUGAGCCUGAUUAGUACUUAGAUGAGAGACCACCUAGGAAUACCAUGGUGCUGUAGGCA